RNAcentral lists this ribosomal RNA (449 nucleotides) under uncultured bacterium. RNAcentral's name for it is "partial 16S ribosomal RNA". It matches the Rfam family "Bacterial small subunit ribosomal RNA", at positions 329 to 794 of the family's 1533-position model. The record is from RNAcentral.
UGCCAGACUCCUACGGGAGGCAGCAGUGGGGAAUAUUGCACAAUGGGGGAAACCCUGAUGCAGCAACGCCGCGUGGGUGAAGGAGCGUUUCGGCGCGUAAAGACCUGUCAGCGGGGAAGAAGAAAGACGGUACCCGACCAAGAAGCCCCGGCUAACUACGUGCCAGCAGCCGCGGUAAUACGUAGGGGGCGAGCGUUAUCCGGAAUUACUGGGUGUAAAGGGAGCGUAGACGGCGAGGUAAGCCUGAAGUGGAAGCCCGCGGCCCAACCGCGGAACUGCUUUGGGAACUGUUUUGCUGGAGUAUGGGAGGGGUAAGCGGAAUUCCUGGUGUAGCGGUGAAAUGCGUAGAUAUCAGGAGGAACACCGGUGGCGAAGGCGGCCUGCUGGACGACAACUGACGGUGAGGCGCGAAAGCGUGGGGAGCAAACAGGAUUAGAUACCCUAGUACU